UAACAGGAUUCCCCUAGUAACUGCGAGUGAAGCGGGAAAAGCUCAAAUUUAAAAUCUGGCGGUCUCUGACUGUCCGAGUUGUAAUCUAGAGAAGCGUUAUCCGCGCUGGACCGUGUACAAGUCUCCUGGAAUGGAGCGUCAUAGAGGGUGAGAAUCCCGUCUUUGACACGGACUGCCAGGGCUUUGUGAUGCGCUCUCAAAGAGUCGAGUUGUUUGGGAAUGCAGCUCAAAAUGGGUGGUAAAUUCCAUCUAAAGCUAAAUAUUGGCGAGAGACCGAUAGCGAACAAGUACCGUGAGGGAAAGAUGAAAAGAACUUUGGAAAGAGAGUUAAACAGUACGUGAAAUUGCUGAAAGGGAAACGCUUGAAGUCAGUCGCGUUGGCCAGGGAUCAACCUUGCUUUUGCUUGGUGUACUUUCUGGUUGACGGGUCAGCAUCAAUUUUGACUAUUGGAAAAAGGUCAAGGGAAUGUGGCAUCUUCGGAUGUGUUAUAGCCCUUGGUUGCAUACAAUGGUUGGGAUUGAGGAACUCAGCACGCCGCAAGGCCGGGUUUUAACCACGUACGUGCUUAGGAUGCUGGCAAAAUGGCUUUAAUCGACCCGUCUUGAAACACGGACCAAGGAGUCUAACAUGCCUGCGAGUGUUUGGGUGGAAAACCCGAGCGCGUAAUGAAAGUGAAAGUUGAGAUCCCUGUCGUGGGGAGCAUCGACGCCCGGACCAGACCUUUUGUGACGGUUCCGCGGUAGAGCAUGUAUGUUGGGACCCGAAAGAUGGUGAACUAUGCCUGAAUAGGGUGAAGCCAGAGGAAACUCUGGUGGAGGCUCGUAGCGAUUCUGACGUGCAAAUCGAUCGUCAAAUUUGGGUA
This 863-nucleotide ribosomal RNA is filed under the name [Cortinarius] cremeolinus var. subpicoides. RNAcentral's name for it is "LSU rRNA". It matches the Rfam family "Eukaryotic large subunit ribosomal RNA", at positions 66 to 917 of the family's 3401-position model. Lineage: Eukaryota; Fungi; Basidiomycota; Agaricomycetes; Agaricales; Cortinariaceae. The record is from RNAcentral.